AUUUUUAAGCCAAAUUAUUGCUUACGAUUACUUAAAAAUUACAAUUCAUAAAUUAACAACUGAUUUGAUACUGCAAUUUAAAAGAAGCACCGAAAAAAUCUUACUUCUAAAACCUUAUUUUAAAAAGUAACCCAAAAAAGGUUAAGAUAAGCAUACGAAUGAUUCAAUAUCUCGAACAAAAGCUCGAAGAAAAUUUCGUGUUCAUCGUUGAAAGCAGACUAUAAAACGUUAAACCAGUUAAACUCGUAAAAUCCUAGACUUAACACGGAUUACGGUGUAUCUAUUAUAUCCGUACUUGUAUCACGAUAAAUGACGUCGAUAAUGGUGAAAGCUUGUCCCGGCUUUGAUAUUUAUUACACGCCGUGAUGUUAGUUGUCUUCCUGCAAAUCCUGAGAACCGAUGAGCAAAUAUAUACGUAUAUUUUAGUUGACUUUUUGCUCUCGGACGAUCGUCCGGGGACGCAUGUUGUCAAAUAUUCCGGGUAGCGCCCCUCGAGGCCUGUUUCUCUUCGAGACUUGACUUUGGAUUCAUCUCUCGACCGCCUUGUUUCCUUCCAUCCCCGAAGAAGAACUUUCGCGACAGCCAUCCUCAACUGUGGCGACAGCUCUUUUGAUCGGGCGAGACUGGAUAUUUGAAAUAUAUCGAAUAAUUUGCUAUAAGAUUCGACUGUGUUAAAUAACACGUGUUACAGGCACGACCAUGGAAACAACAAUACCCGCUGCUUUCAAUAUAAUCUACACCUGCUGCUGCAUCCCGUGCAACCUAGAGAUUACACGAAACUUUAAAUGCGUUCGUGUGAUACACAGAUUUAUCGUGAUCGUGGUGUGAUACUAUUUCUUUUUUUUUUUUUUUUGGUAUCCGGGAAACGGGGAUGAUUAAAACGUUGGUAUUCAUAAUUCAAACUCGGGAGAAAAUUCUAUGAAUUUUUAUUACGACGCUCGUGAAUCGAGGCGAAUAUCGCGUACUGACCGUUGUUAAAUGAAGAAACCAGAGAUGUAUCGCUCUUUGGACGUCUUGAAUGUGUCUUUUCACAUGUUUGUCCCCGAUUUUUCAUUUUUUUUCAAAGUUUCUUUUUUUUGUAUGCGUUAUUUUGGUUGUUAAAUUAUUAACAAAGAAACAGUGGCUCGACGUAUUCAACGUUAACGACACGUUUGAUAAGCGAUUGUGCGUGCGUCGUUUUUAUUAAUAACUUGUCAAGAAAGUUGAAACGAAAGUUUCUGAAAGGAAAAUGUUGCUCGAAAUUAUCCCAGAAGUCUCCAAUUAAUCGAUGUUACCACAUUUUUGAAACAUCCUAUAUAUACGUAUCUCUUACAUUCGUUAGGGAAUCGAAUACCAACAGACAAAUAUUUCUUAUUGUAUCUUUGAGUAAAAUAAAUCUAAUUCUAAAUUAGGGCGAGUUUUGAAACAACGAAGAGAUGAAAAGAAAAAGAAAACGAUAUAUAUUUCUCCUGUUUCUAAUCGUUUCGUUUCUCUGUCAUUCAUUUAUCUCUUUCUAUUUCGUUACAAAGAGAAAGAAUUCUUACAAUUAUUUUGUUCUUCUAAUUGAUACAAAAUAUGAAAAAUUUUUCACAACAUCUUUAUUGGAAAAAUAUUACUGAAUAAUAUUGUGAUAAUUGUUUAUUAAUUUAUGCCAAGCUGAUGCGAAAUUAUAUCUAACGCAAUGAGACGAAAAUAAUGCCUCCUUAUCGUAACGUAAUAUUUUAUAAUGGCACGAGCUUUUGUAUAUUGUACCACGUUGCACUUUAUCGCGUCGUCCUUUUAACCAUCGUAACAAAGAUAUAAUUUUGUGGGACAUAAAUUUUCAUAGUCAUAAAUUAUCUCUAAACGCGGUUAACAAGUACCAAGAGGUAACGAGUUUAUCCGAAAGUGAAGUACGACUGCAUCGGGUGGAAUGGAAUAGCGGUAUUAGUGAAUUAUGGUCAUUUAACAUUUAGUAAUUUCAUAAAUCUUAUAUUAAUAGCGAUGGAAUUAAUUCGAGAUAGAAUAACCCGCGAUAUCAAUCUAAAGUAUCGUUAACACAUGAAAACAAAUUCAAUUUUAAUUUUGCAGUCCUUUUUUGCAUUUAUCAAGUUUCAUCUUUACUUUAUGCAUUUUCGUCUGUACAUUUGUUUAUUUUUAACCAUCUCUCAAGAAUUUCUUUAUCUUACGAUUCGUUCAAUGAUGACAUUGCAACUUGUACGAUUUGUCAAUAAUUAUAAAAUCUUCAAUUUUUAUGAUAAUAAAACUUAGAAUUAUGAUAAAAUGAUCAAUAUGAUGUCGUAGUUUUAAAAAAAUAAUGACACAAUUAUAAAAAGGAAAUUUUUAAAAAGAUUAUUGCGAUUGAAAUAAAAAUAUUUAAGAUAUCAAGAUAUAAGAAGACGCUAUAUCAAAGCAUUAAUCUAAUCUAACCAUAUUAACACAAUUAUAAUUCAAAUUAAGAAAAAAAAACCAAAGCCUAGGAUAAAUUUAAGAUUAAUUUAAGCCUAAGAUAUAAAGAAUAUUCACGUUGCAUGCAUCCAAGCAAAUCCUACUUAACUUUAUUAUACUACAAUAUAAUGGACAAAUUAAUUUCAAACAUGAAAAAUUCAAAAAAAUUAAUUCAUUUUCCGUUCUAAUUCCAUAUCAAAGAAAAAGAAAAUCGAAAAAUUUAAAUUCAAAGAUACGAUCAAGAUAUAAAGUACAUUCACGUUAGCAUGCGUCGAAGCACUAACGCAACGAUUUGAUCGAUAUUUCUCAAACUAAAAAUUCAAAAAACCAUUCAUUUUCCAUUCUACAUGCCAGAUAAACGUUGCAUGCAUCAUCAACCACACUUAAUUUUACAUUUCUUAAAUCCCUGAAUCCUCGAAUUCUUGAAAACGGAAAAAUCCCAAAAAUUUCAUUCUACAUGAAAUUCGAAUAAAGAACAAAUUUCGCAUGCACACUGAACUCCACUUAACUUCUCUAUACAACGAUCGGAUGAUCGAUCAGGAAAGGAGAGAGGGAGCGAUUCGGUCAGCGUUUAAUUCGUAAUUCGAGAGUUUCUCAGAGGGUACGCUCGCACGUGUACAUUCACGCGUGUGAGCGCGAAUUUCUGCGGCAAUGCACGGGCACAGUAUGCGAUGCAGGCGCCUCCACUCAAGGGCCGAGGGUGGAGAACCUCGGCGUGAACAUUAUGCGGUGCACCUCGCGUUUAGCUUGAUAAAUGGCGGCGGAGCAGGGCGUUGAAUGCCGGCGUUGUUGCACUCGCCGUCACGUCUUUGCUCUUCUUCCCUCUAUUUUUCUCUCUCCUCCCCUCUCUUUCUCUCUGUCGUGUUAUUUUUUUCACCUCAUUUCUCCCUACCACCUUCCCUUUCGCGAUGAAAUCGUCUUGAUUUCUUCCAGGGUGGAAAGAAUCCUGUUUUUGACAAUCGUGUGUAACCAAUUGGCGUUAUUUGAUACAGAGAGAAAAUCGAAAACUGGAAACAGUAAUUAUAAUUUUUCUCGAGAUCCUCGUUCGAGUUAUGGCUACGGAAAACGAGAUUAUACUCACACGGGAGGGAGGGAGCGUUUUUACGUGUAAUCGGGGUUGUUGCAGCCCGGGAAAAGUUUUUUAAUCACGUUUACCCGAUAGUAGAUAUUACUUUGGUUACUGUUAGCCAGGAUUAAAGCAUUUGCUUUGGUUCCCGUUCAUUUGUUAUUCAUAGCUUUCUUGAUCCCUCCCUCCUUUUCAUAUCUUGUUUCUCUUAAAUUUUUUAUUAAUCGUAUAUCUAUUUAUCAGAUACUGGAUAUUAUAUAAAUACGAUUCGAAUUCAUUAACGAAAUUUCGUAUAAUCAAUAAUAUCCAAGUGUUAAUUUGAUCAUUAAUUUUGUUUCGAGAUUAUAAUCUCCCUUAAUCUUUGGUUAAAUUUGUAUUAAAAAGAUCGUAUUAAGAAAAUUUAAGUUUUCGUAAUACAUAGUUUGGUAGAAAACCGACUAAACGUUCCCCUCAGUUUUGACGAUAAAAAGAAUCGAUCGUUUUAUUGAGGCUUCUUCACCUAUUAAACCGUCAUUAAAUUUAAUGUAUUCGCUUAAAGAGAUAUUUGCAUCCAAUUUAUUAUUCCACGCUCAUGUUACAAACGAUCUCCACGAGCGUACUAAAGGAACGUUAUCCCAAUUUAUUUUGCAUUUUUAUGAAAUUUACGGUUAAUCGUUCGUUUCUGCCAUUGCAAUAAGAAAGAGCUUACUAAAUAUCAAUACAAAGCCCGCAGUGUAUAAAUGUAAAAGUAUUGGAGAUUUAUUAUCGGCUCGGAUUCUAUAUAUGUUGUUACACAUUAUUCCUUAUUUUCUGCAACAAUAAUAAUAUUAACACAAAAAUUAAAACGUCUAAAUUUGCUUAAACGUGUUUUCAAUCUUUAUAAAAAUGAAAUUGAAAGUUCAAUUUAAAAAUUCUCGUAUAGUAAAAUUGUGCUAGUAUAUAUAUAAAAAUAUAAAGAAGAACGUUUUUCCAUAUUAAUAAUCAAAAUAUUGUAAACUUUAGUUGCAGUAUUAAAUUUUAAAUAUGUAUAUAUAUCUUUAAACAGCAAUGGAAAAUUAAAAUCAUUGAUUUAACGUGGAAGAAAUCUCUUCAAUUUCUCAAAUAUUUGUUAAUAUUUAAUGUUGUUCCAUAUUAUUGAUAUGUGUGGAUAAGAAGUCUUACAAUCUUUCUAAAAAUGAUGAAAUAUAGAAUUAUAGAAAUAUAAUUGCAACAAUAGCUAUAUUGUAUAUUCUAUAUCAAUAUUUCCUUUCAAAUAUUGUUUAUUAUUGUUGGCAGUGAAUCGAUUGAAUUUAUAAGUAUAUUAUAGAAUAUAUAGUUACAAAAAUUUAAUCCUUUUGAAUUUUUAUUUUUAAAAAAUUGUUUUUAUUUUUAAUGAAACUUUAUAUAGAGUAUAAUGGAUUACGUAUGAUAAUUCUUUUCUUGUUUCUUCGGAACGUCAUUUCAAGAAAAUGAAAUCAACGUUCAAAGUUUUAUCUUUUCAUUGUUUUUAAUAUAAUUUUAUGAUAGAGCAAAAUUUUAAAAAGAUUUAAUUUUUAAUACUCAAUCUAUCUAUUGUAAAAAAUAGAAAUUGUUUCCAAAAUUAAAAAAAAUAUUAAAACUUUUUGAAAAUUAAUUUCAUUUUUUCAAAAAAAUUUUCUGUUCCACAAAGAGAUAUUUCAUAUAUAAUCCAUUAUGCUCUCUAUAUACACACAAAUUUUUAAAAUCAGAAUUUUCGAUAAAACGAAUUUCCUUGUAAUAUAGAACAUGAAUAUUUCCGUCAUCGAUUGUAAAUUUAUUAGGAUUUAAAAAUUAUUAAAACAGAUUUUUAUGAUCGUAUUUAUUUUUAUUUACACGAAAAAAUGAUCAAUCGUUUAUCUCGAUUAAAGCGUUACACAUUUCAGAAGCCAAAAAAAAUUGUUUUAAUUCGAUAUUGAUAUUUAAUUUGAAACAAAUUUUGUUUUCAAUUUUUAACAAAAGUUUAAUUUUUACAUAAAAUUUUAAAAUAAAAUUCUAAAAUUUUCACUUUUAUUUCAACAAAAUUGUUGUUUUCGAAAAUGAAUUCCAUUUAAAAAUUGAAUAAAAAUCCAUGGUUAGUUAAACAUUUCAUCAGUUGCUCGACAACAUUUUUUGAUAUAAAUUUUACUAUGUGAAGAUUUAAACAAAUUUUUUUAUUAUUAGAAACUACAUCCCAUGAAUGGCGUGAAUUAUGACGGAUGCUAUUAUACCGAAUUCUAUUUCGAAGUAGAACUUUUGCCAAGCGAUGAUGAAUAGCCUCGUGAAAAGAGCAAAUUACGAAAGUUAAUUCGACCGCGUUGCAUCCUGUUCGUUUUGCCAAUCGAUUAGACAAAUAGUUCACAGUAGUUUUUAAAUGUCUCUUAUAUCUUCCAUCGAUUCCAUUUCAUUUUCUUUCGACCUUUUAUCUCCUUGAUUGCUUUUCUUCUUUUUUUCUCCAAUUUUUAAAAAGUUAUUAUUUUUCAUUUCAUGCGACGAUGAACAACUUUUGCGACAUAAUCAACGAUUUUUUUUUCAAUUAGGAACGAGGAAAAUUCGCUUUUUCAUUUUCGAUUAGUUUGUAAUUCGUUAUUUCUAGAUGCGCGUUGUAAUCGAAUUUUAAAAUAGAUUAUUUGGAAACCAUCGUUGGGAUUGAUUAUGAAAAAUGAAAAAAAAAAAAAAAGAAAAGAAAA
This is a long non-coding RNA of Apis cerana (Asiatic honeybee), 6114 nucleotides long. RefSeq lists it as uncharacterized. Lineage: Eukaryota; Metazoa; Arthropoda; Insecta; Hymenoptera; Apidae. The record is from RefSeq and is a predicted model, not a curated record.